This is a long non-coding RNA of Pseudophryne corroboree (corroboree frog), 942 nucleotides long. RefSeq lists it as uncharacterized. The transcript is spliced from 4 exons. Lineage: Eukaryota; Metazoa; Chordata; Amphibia; Anura; Myobatrachidae. The record is from RefSeq and is a predicted model, not a curated record.
AGCAGGAGUUAAUUGCAAGCAGACUUAAAAGGAUAUGCUGACUGAAGAUUGCUGAACUACAGUAGGAGUGUGAAGGUUUCACAAAAGGACAAUAGUAACUGAAGCAAUGAGCCGUUAUGUUUAUGUUUCCAUGGUGAUGGUUCACUCCCCCCGCCUCACGCCCCUGUGACGGGUCCUGGGCACCGUCGGCUGCCGAUGACGUCACCUAGACUCCGGAGUGGGCGGCUACGGCGGUGAUUCCUGUGCACGGUGGCUUCCGGGGCCGGUGGCCGAGCGAGCGGUGUUACCGGCUGUGUCAUCCACCUGCGCCACAGAGACAGUCCCAGCAUGCACGGCCCACUCUCCACCGGUGUCUGGAAGCGGGGAUGAAUGGACAUGCUCAGCACACUAUUUAGAUGUCUUUGGAGCAUGCAUGAUGAAGCACAGAUAGAGGAAAAAUUGUCACUUACUUUUCUGCCCCCUCCCUCUUAUUUUCUUAGUCAAUAAAUGUGAAGCAGAAACAUUACGGUUCAUCAGACGCUUUUCUGAAUCAGUAAACUGUGUAUAGUGUUUAUUUACUGCAUGUUUUGUAUAUAUACUGUAUGUUUUCUCAUUAUGGCCUGUAGCAAAUUUGUAACGUUUGAUGGGGGUUUCUUUGAACCUUUCACAGAACAGCACUGUAUUUAUCAAAGAGAAAAAAGUCCUUUUGGAAACAAUCUGUGCAGAAUCACAGGAGACAGGUUAAAAGCUUUUGUGACGUUUUCAUUUAUUUGAUAAGGAUGUUGAUUUUAAACCAAGGUUGCAACUGGUGGGAAACUGGAGUAUACAAACCAACAGGUAACAUCAAAGAGAAUGGAAAGCAACAUUUUCAUUUAAACAAAUAUUGUGUUUGUAUAGUUGUGUCUGCACAUUGUACUGAAUAUUGUUUAAAUAGCAAAGUGCUGAGAUUAUAAUUAAAAUAGA